GACGAACGCUGGCGGCGUGCUUAACACAUGCAAGUCGAACGGAAAGGCCCUGCUUUUGUGGGGUGCUCGAGUGGCGAACGGGUGAGUAACACGUGAGUAACCUGCCCUUGACUUUGGGAUAACUUCAGGAAACUGGGGCUAAUACCGGAUAGGAGCUCCUGCUGCAUGGUGGGGGUUGGAAAGUUUCGGCGGUUGUGGAUGGACUCGCGGCUUAUCAGCUUGUUGGUGGGGUAGUGGCUUACCAAGGCUUUGACGGGUAGCCGGCCUGAGAGGGUGACCGGCCACAUUGGGACUGAGAUACGGCCCAGACUCCUACGGGCGGCAGCAGUGGGGAAUAUUGCACAAUGGGCGGAAGCCUGAUGCAGCAACGCCGCGUGCGGGAUGACGGCCUUCGGGUUGUAAACCGCUUUCGCCUGUGACGAAGCGUGAGUGACGGUAAUGGGUAAAGAAGCACCGGCUAACUACGUG
Molecule: ribosomal RNA, 468 nt
Filed under: uncultured bacterium
Lineage: Bacteria
Description: partial 16S ribosomal RNA
Rfam family: Bacterial small subunit ribosomal RNA
Source: RNAcentral